This 453-nucleotide ribosomal RNA is filed under the name uncultured Pseudomonas sp. RNAcentral describes it as "bacterial SSU rRNA". It matches the Rfam family "Bacterial small subunit ribosomal RNA", at positions 930 to 1382 of the family's 1533-position model. Lineage: Bacteria; Pseudomonadati; Pseudomonadota; Gammaproteobacteria; Pseudomonadales; Pseudomonadaceae. The record is from RNAcentral.
CGGUGGAGCAUGUGGUUAAUUCGAAGCAACGCGAAGAACCUUACCAGGCCUUGACAUGCAGAGAACUUUCCAGAGAUGGAUUGGUGCCUUCGGGAACUCUGACACAGGUGCUGCAUGGCUGUCGUCAGCUCGUGUCGUGAGAUGUUGGGUUAAGUCCCGUAACGAGCGCAACCCUUGUCCUUAGUUACCAGCACGUUAUGGUGGGCACUCUAAGGAGACUGCCGGUGACAAACCGGAGGAAGGUGGGGAUGGACGUCAAGUCAUCAUGGCCCUUACGGCCUGGGCUACACACGUGCUACAAUGGUCGGUACAAAGGGUUGCCAAGCCGCGAGGUGGAGCUAAUCCCAUAAAACCGAUCGUAGUCCGGAUCGCAGUCUGCAACUCGACUGCGUGAAGUCGGAAUCGCUAGUAAUCGUGAAUCAGAAUGUCACGGUGAAUACGUUCCCGGGCCUU